GCUAAUACCGCAUAAGCACACACUGUCGCAUGGCUGAGUGUGAAAAGAUUUAUCGGCAAAGGAGGAGUCCGCGUUCUAUCAGAUAGUUGGUGGGGUAACGGCCCACCAAGUCAGCGAUAGAUAGCCGAACUGAGAGGUUGAACGGACAAACCGGGGACUGAGACACGGCCCGUGACUCCUACAGGAGGCAAACAGUGAGGGAUAUCGCACAAUGGGCGGAAGCCUGAUGCAGCAACGCCGCGUGAAGGAACAAAGGUUCUCGGAUUGUAAACUUCUAUCGAAUGGGAACGAAUAAUGACGGUACACAACAGUAAGAAGCCCCGGCAUAAUUACGUUCCAGCAUCCGCGGUAAUACGUAGGGGUCCAAGCGUUAUCCGGAAUUACUGGGUUUAAAGGGUGAGUAACCGUUUUGCCAAGUCACAUGUGUAAUCCCGCGGCUCAACCGCGGGACUGCAUGAGAAACUGCUGAACUAGAGUACAGGAGAGGUUAGCGGAAUUCCUUGUGUAGCGGUGAAAUGCGUAGAUAU
This 527-nucleotide ribosomal RNA is filed under the name uncultured bacterium. RNAcentral's name for it is "bacterial SSU rRNA". It matches the Rfam family "Bacterial small subunit ribosomal RNA", at positions 162 to 697 of the family's 1533-position model. The record is from RNAcentral.